RNAcentral lists this ribosomal RNA (274 nucleotides) under uncultured bacterium. RNAcentral's name for it is "partial 16S ribosomal RNA". It matches the Rfam family "Bacterial small subunit ribosomal RNA", at positions 523 to 796 of the family's 1533-position model. The record is from RNAcentral.
AUACGGAGGGUGCAAGCGUUAAUCGGAAUUACUGGGCGUAAAGCGUACGUAGGCGGUUCGUUAAGUUAGAUGUGAAAGCCCCGGGCUUAACCUGGGCACUGCAUUUAAAACUGGCGAACUAGAGUUGAGUAGAGGGGAGUGGAAUUUCAGGUGUAGCGGUGAAAUGCGUAGAGAUCUGAAGGAACACCAGUGGCGAAGGCGACUCCCUGGACUCGAACUGACGCUGAGGUACGAAAGCGUGGGUAGCAAACGGGAUUAGAUACCCUAGUAGUCC